UACGGGAGGCAGCAGUGGGGAAUCUUGCGCAAUGGGCGAAAGCCUGACGCAGCGACGCCGCGUGAGUGAUGAAGGCCCUCGGGUUGUAAAGCUCUGUGGAGGGGGACGAAUAAGUGUCGUCGAAUAGACGGCAUGAUGACGGUACCCCUUUAGCAAGCACCGGCUAACUCUGUGCCAGCAGCCGCGGUAAGACAGAGGGUGCAAACGUUGUUCGGAAUUACUGGGCGUAAAGCGCGUGUAGGCUGCUCGGAAAGUCGGAUGUGAAAGCCCUGGGCUCAACCCAGGAAGAGCAUUCGAAACUCCCGAGCUCGAGUACCGGAGAGGAAGGCGGAAUUCUCGGKGUAGAGGKGAAAAUCGUAGAUAUCGAGAGGAACACCUGUGGCGAAGGCGGCCUUCUGGACGGUUACUGACGCUGAGACGCGAAAGCGUGGGGAGCAAACAGGAUUAGAUACCCUGGUAGUCCACGCCGUAAACGAUGGGUGCUAGGUGUCGCGGGAUUUGACCCCUGCGGUGCCGUAGCUAACGCAUUAAGCACCCCGCCUGGGGAGUACGGCCGCAAGGCUAAAACUUAAAUGAAUUGACGG
RNAcentral lists this ribosomal RNA (584 nucleotides) under uncultured Polyangium sp. RNAcentral describes it as "bacterial SSU rRNA". It matches the Rfam family "Bacterial small subunit ribosomal RNA", at positions 340 to 916 of the family's 1533-position model. The record is from RNAcentral. Lineage: Bacteria; Pseudomonadati; Myxococcota; Polyangiales; Polyangiaceae.